UGCCGUCGGCGAAUCGGCGUCGGCGAAGGGCCAAUCGGGGUCAGAAGA
RNAcentral lists this non-coding RNA (48 nucleotides) under unclassified sequences. Its description in RNAcentral is "gut-2 RNA". It matches the Rfam family "gut-2 RNA". From Rfam's summary of the family: gut metagenomes. Environment (Cow rumen (57)) The record is from Rfam by way of RNAcentral.